AACCGUUAUUUCCUAUUGGGCGUUGGACCCAACUAUUCCAAUUUGCAUACAUUUAAACAAAAAGGAAUACAUGAAAUAAUAAGAAGGGUUUAUGCCCUUUUACAACACAUAAGAUGGACUUAUGUCCAUUUACAACAAAUUGAAUUAAUCAAAUUACAUUCAAAUCUAAACUACUUAACCCAAACAUUCAUAAUGUAAAGCGGCCAAUCACAUAGCUCAAUUAUCGAGGCCUUUGGUUCAUAAUCACCCUUUUCUUAAUCAAUCACAUUAACUAAGAAAGCAACUUAAACAAUUGGUUUUCGGAUUCAUAGAAUUGAUUUAAAUGGAACUAAAUAAAAUGAAAAUCCAAUUCUCAUUUAAAGAGACAAAACUAUUUUGUUCUCAUCUUAUUUGGGCCAAAAACAAUGACCUCAACAAUUGGGCCAUUAUUUAAUAAACAAAAACUUUUGGGGCCACUUUGUAAAAACACAAGAGUCCACAACUUUAUGUAAUUACAACUAGAACCCAAAAUUUUAAUAAUGUAAAAACAUCAUUAAAGGAGCAAAACAAUUUGUCCUUUAGAGUUUUUGGGCCUUAACGUAAAAACGUAAACUUUUGGGCCAAAAUGCAAAUACACAAAAGUAUCAAAACUUUAUGUAAUUGCACAAAAGGCCCUAAAAUACCCUUUUCUAUAGGGUGGCCGGUUUUUGGAGAGAAGUCAAAAAAUUUUAAAAAGUUUUUGCAAGUUGAUUUUAGUAGGUGAGGUUAAAGGUGAUUAAGAUGGUUUGUAAGAGAUUUUUGUCUAACAUUAAGGGCACGUUUGUUUGACAGGAUUAAGAGGGCUUGGACUGGACUAGACUAUAGUCCGACGUUUGGUGUGCAUCCGGAUUAGCUUUAAUGAGCUUAACCCGAACUCGCUUGGACUAAGGACCUCCUUAGCCGUUCUUAACGAGCAACCCCAAAAUUGGGCGGAUUCGUAAGCCAGAGGAAACCGAGAGAUUUUCUGCCUUCCCUUCGUCCUGUCUUCCCUUCGUCCUCAUCUCUACGUUCCCUCAACGUCGUCGUUGCCGUGCUCUCUCAUCUUCGUCCUCCUCACCCUCAUCUGAGCGUCUUCCUGUCUCUGCAUCUGCUCGCCCUCAUCUGAGUUGUACGGUAAACUUCGAUUCUUCUAUUAAUUUCAUGUAUUUGUGUUGCAGAUGGUAAUUUUACUGAGCUUUAUUUCAUUUGAUUGUUUUGGGUUUGAUAAUUUUUGAAUCAUAGAGAUCUGCACUUGAAUAAAUUAGGGUUUUGAUAUUUAGGUGAAAUUGAAAUUAGAAUUUGGGCUUUUCAUAAGAUGAGAUGGAACUUGGGAAUUUAGGAUGUCAAAGUUGUAAAACUUGGAAGUCCUACCCACAUGUUGUUUUCGAUUUUUAAAAAUUGGGGUUUCAACAAUGAGAGUACUCUGUGCGUGUGUGUGUCUGCGUGUGUGUGUGUGUGUGUGUCUCUGUGUGUGUGUGUAAUUUAUGUGUAUGUCAUUACCAAAAAUCCUCGUCUCCAAGCAUACUCUCUCCAAGCACCUGUUUCACUGUAUGUUUAUAUCUGCCAAAUUAGGAUGAAUUGAUGAGUUAGUGCAGAAGAGUUUCCUCUUCUCGAUUUAGUGUUAAAGUCAUGUCAUUCACUAGAAGGCCUUUCACUGCCAAAUUAGGUUAAUCGAACAUAACUGGGCAUAGUUGUUUUGGUAUGCUUUAGCUCAUAUCGAAACAUUUGCGUUUCUUUAGCUUAACUUUUCUGGAUGAUGAGGUCAAUUAUUCUGUUUGCAUAUUCUAAUGUCACUGAGC
Molecule: long non-coding RNA, 1796 nt
Filed under: Malus domestica (apple)
Lineage: Eukaryota; Viridiplantae; Streptophyta; Magnoliopsida; Rosales; Rosaceae
Description: long non-coding RNA (MDOM_LNC021293)
Source: RNAcentral